This 341-nucleotide ribosomal RNA is filed under the name uncultured Anoxybacillus sp. RNAcentral describes it as "bacterial SSU rRNA". It matches the Rfam family "Bacterial small subunit ribosomal RNA", at positions 1042 to 1382 of the family's 1533-position model. Lineage: Bacteria; Bacillati; Bacillota; Bacilli; Caryophanales; Anoxybacillaceae. The record is from RNAcentral.
GGCAUGGUUGUCGUCAGCUCGUGUCGUGAGAUGUUGGGUUAAGUCCCGCAACGAGCGCAACCCUCGACCUUAGUUGCCAGCAUUCAGUUGGGCACUCUAAGGUGACUGCCGGCUAAAAGUCGGAGGAAGGUGGGGAUGACGUCAAAUCAUCAUGCCCCUUAUGACCUGGGCUACACACGUGCUACAAUGGGCGGUACAAAGGGUCGCGAACCCGCGAGGGGGAGCCAAUCCCAAAAAGCCGCUCUCAGUUCGGAUUGCAGGCUGCAACUCGCCUGCAUGAAGCCGGAAUCGCUAGUAAUCGCGGAUCAGCAUGCCCGCGGUCGAAUACGUUCCCGGGCCUU